RNAcentral lists this ribosomal RNA (1170 nucleotides) under metagenome. RNAcentral's name for it is "SSU rRNA". It matches the Rfam family "Eukaryotic small subunit ribosomal RNA", at positions 558 to 1762 of the family's 1831-position model. The record is from RNAcentral.
AGUCUGGUGCCAGCAGCCGCGGUAAUUCCAGCUCUCAAAAUGCAUAGAAUCAUUGCUGCGGUUAAAAAGCUCGUAGUUGGAUCUGUGCUGGCGGGUCGGCCCACCUUCGGGUGCGCACUGAUUUCGCCGGCUUUCCUGCUGUAUUUGGCCCUGUGCCUUUCAACGGGUGCAGUGUCCAGUGCAGCAAGUUUACCUUGAACAAAUCAGAGUGCUUCAAACAGGCGUUUCGCUUGAAUGUUCGUGCAUGGAAUAAUAGAAGAGGAUUUCGGUUCUAUUUUAUUGGUCUUAUAGACUGAGAUAAUGGUUAACAGAGACUAACGGGGGCAUUAGUAUUGCUACGUGAGAGGUGAAAUUCUUGGACCGUAGCAAGACGCACUACAGCGAAAGCAUUUGCCAAGAAAGUCUUCAUUAAUCAAGAACGAAAGUCAGAGGUUCGAAGGCGAUCAGAUACCGCCCUAGUUCUGACCGUAAACGAUGCCAACUAGUGAUCCGCCGGUGGAACAUUCGCCCUGGUGGGGAACUUCCCGGAAACGAAAGUCUUCCGGUUCCGGGGGAAGUAUGGUUGCAAAGCUGAAACUUAAAGGAAUUGACGGAAGGGCACCACCAGGAGUGGAGCCUGCGGCUUAAUUUGACCCAACACGGGAAAACUCACCCGGCCCGGUCACCGUAAGGAUUGACAGAUUGAUAGCUCUUUCAUGAUUCGGUGGAUGGUGGUGCAUGGCCGUUCUUAGUUCGUGGAGCGAUUUGUCUGGUUUAUUCCGAUAACGAGCGAGACUCUGGCCUACUAAAUAGUUUACACAUUGCUUCUGUGUGCAUAACUUCUUAGAGGGAUUUUCGGUGUUCAGCCGCAAGAAAUUGAGCAAUAACAGGUCUGUGAUGCCCUUAGAUGUCCGGGGCUGCACGCGCGCUACACUGGCAAAAUCAGCGUGCUUGUCCUUCCCCGAAAGGGGUUGGUAAACUCGUGAAAAUUUGCCGUGAUUGGGAUCGGAAAUUGCAAUUAUUUUCCGUGAACGAGGAAUUCCAAGUAAGUGCGAGUCAUCAACUCGCGUUGAUUACGUCCCUGCCCUUUGUACACACCGCCCGUCGCUGCCCGGGACUGAGCCGUUUCGAGAAACUUGGAGACCGCUGAUCUGGUAACUUCGAUUGCCAUUUUGGUGGGAACCAAUUUAA